AGAAUAAACAGACCACUAGAGAUGACCAAUUUGCACACUCCAACACUCAUCCCAGUCAGGCUGCCAUUUAUGAAAAUCCAAACCAGCCGGUAUAUGGUAACACAAUGAAUGAGGCUGUGUAUAUGAAUGUUUCAGAGGAGACAUCCCAGAGUCCAGGUCAAGAACUGGAUCUCAGCUGGAAAAAGGCUGGUGGCAGUAACAGCAGGAAACCCACAUCUCUCCAGGGAGAUCCAGAAGCCCAAAUUUCAUCCUCCCAAGGGAAUCAGCAAAUCUACGAAACUAUGUCAGGUGCAGCCAUCUAUGAAACCUUAUAAAAACAUCAGUGGAAGGUUCAACUAUUCCAAAAUGUUCAAAAACUUCUAAAGGAACUUUAUUAUCAAAGUACAUAUAUGUAUAUAUGUAACUGUAU
Molecule: long non-coding RNA, 409 nt
Organism: Hypanus sabinus (Atlantic stingray)
Lineage: Eukaryota; Metazoa; Chordata; Chondrichthyes; Myliobatiformes; Dasyatidae
Exons: 3
Source: RefSeq, a predicted model, not a curated record